Molecule: RNA transcript, 2107 nt
Organism: Mus musculus (house mouse)
Lineage: Eukaryota; Metazoa; Chordata; Mammalia; Rodentia; Muridae
Gene: Armh1
Gene name: armadillo-like helical domain containing 1
Exons: 14
Source: RefSeq, marked validated
UGGCUCCAGCAGGGCUGAUCCGGGAUCUCGAUGCUGUAAUCCAGCUCGGCCGAGGCCAUGGUGAAGGUGCGGGUCUUCAGCACAGGCCUCCCGCCGGAACUCCCGCAGUUUCACCUCGGCGGGGCCGGGACGCCGCCGGGCCACGCCCCUCCCCGCCCACGCCCAGCGCUGUCCAAUCCCCGAGCCGCACUCUGUGACCUCCCUGCCUAGCAACCAGGGAGUCGCUUCGCGCCUCGGGCGGCACCCACUAGCCCGGCCCUAGCAACCGCGCCCCGCCCCUACUGUCUUUGGGCCCCAGCAAUUGGCUGACUCUCUUGAUCUUGGAUCAAGUAUUGGUCAGUGGGGCAGCGCUCUCGGAGCGACCGCACCCUCCUGUGAAGGUUGGUCCACACUUGUCCCGUCCCCCCCACCUCACCCGGGCCCCCAGUUCUAGAAGCUGAUUGGACCUUGUGAUGUCUUCCUGAACCUGCGUGGUGCCCUUCCCAGGAGCACAGACCCAGUGUCCUCUGGGGAGUAGUGGAGUCACCCACGGGAUUGGCUAGCCAUGACCUCUGUAAAGGAGCAGGCAGCCAUCAGCCGGCUCCUUAGUUUUCUGCAGGAGUGGGACAACGCCGGCAAAGGCCUCCGAAAUCAGAUUCUCACCACGUUCAUCAAAACCAACGAAGGCAAGACUGGCCCCGAGCUGGAGCUGGAGUUUUCCCAGGGAGCCAGUUUGUUCCUCAUACGAGUGACCACCUGGCUUAGAAUCAUCUAUAUGACCGGCUUGGAACUAGAAAAGAUCCUGAGGUCCAUUGGCAUCUUCUUAUCUGCUGUGAGCAGUAAUCGGUACCUGCUUGAAUUUCUUGAGAUUGGAGGUGUCCUAACGCUCUUGGAAAUACUUGGCGUAGAGAAGAUCAACGAAGAGGACAAAAAGGAAUCCAUCAAACUACUUCAGAUUAUUGCAAACACUGGCAGAAAGUACAAGGAGCUCAUCUGUGAAAGCUACGGUGUGAGAGCCAUAGCAGAAUUUCUGGCAAAGUCUAAAUCAGAAGAGACCCAGGAGGAAGUGCAGGUUCUGCUGGAAACGUUGGUUCAUGGCAAUCCCAAGUACCAGAACCAAGUAUACAAAGGCCUGAUAGCUCUGCUGCCCUGUGAGUCCCCGAAAGCCCAGCGACUGGCCCUGCAGACUCUCAAGACUGCCCAGUCAAUAGUUGGAGCGACACACCCCAGCAUCGUGGACCGUGUGCUGACAGUCCUGAGCACAGUGCACCUGGAGGUCCAGUAUGAAGCCAUCGAGCUGAUAAAGGACCUGAUCCACUACGACGUGCGCUUGCCUCUGCUCAAGGGCCUUGUGGCGCUGCUCAUGCCACCAGUCAAGGAGACAUCCAAACUGCAGGCCAAGAUCUUCAGUGACUCUUCGAUUCUCCAGACCACAACCCAGUUACCCGUGUUCCUGCAGCAGGCUGCAGCUGCCAAGACCAUUGGGAUCCUGGCACGCAAUGACUUGAACUUGGCAGUGGAGCUGCUGAACCUGCGUGUGGUCCAUGGCCUGAUGUCGGCCAUGGGUAACACUGACCACAGCAAUAGCCAGAGGCUAGCCAGCCUCACACUGGAGUACUUUGUGCAAAUGUUCCCAUUGGUGGAGGAACAGGUCCGCAAGUCCAUGGGGGACGAACUCUACCAGCUCUUCCUUCCAGUAAGCUGGAAGCAGGAUCUCUCUGCCUAAGCAGCUCUGCUCGAGAAUGACGCCGAGAUCCUGUACACAAAAAUAGACAGUAUUCAGGCGGACAUUUUGGCAGCCAAUAAAGUCAAUGCUACCACAGACAGCUGCGAGUGCAUUGACAACAGCUCCAUCAGCUUCUCCACGGGCUCCAAUGAUAUGAAUCAGAGGGGCUACACCAAUGACUUUGAGAAACUUCAUUCAAAGUCCAAGGAGUGACAGAGCCCUGUGACAAACCAGGAAAGCUAAGGUUGUGCCUUGUGGAAGCCUGCCUGACUGCCAGGAGGGUGGCAUUGAGGAUGGUGCCAUCUGGCCCUGGGUGGGAAGCUGAGUAUUAUAAAAUGCAGGGGGGAAGGGGGAAGCUGUUUCUGCAGAAGGGCCUAAUAAAGAGUCUUGAUGCUAUCCGCA